RNAcentral lists this ribosomal RNA (594 nucleotides) under uncultured Pezizomycotina. Its description in RNAcentral is "SSU rRNA". It matches the Rfam family "Eukaryotic small subunit ribosomal RNA", at positions 53 to 567 of the family's 1831-position model. The record is from RNAcentral. Lineage: Eukaryota; Fungi; Ascomycota.
GCGAGCGUUAGUUUACUGUUUAUCUGUGAAACUGCGAAUGGCUCUUAAUCAGUUACCGUUCCUCUGAUAUUCUUUUUUUCCUGGAUUACUGUGGUUUUUCAAAACUAAUACCUGACCAAGUGUUCCGACCUCAGCUUGGGGAGUGAUUGAUCGCUUUUAUUACUACGCCACUCAUGAUUCUUAUUCACCUCAAACCCUGUUCACUGAUUUCAGUCCCUUUCUCCGGACAUGCUUUGGGGAUCUUUCCGCCUUCGGUUGCAUUUCUUGUGAUGACUCUGAAUAACUGAGUGAAUCGUAUGGCCUCUGAACCGACGAUGUAUCCCUCAAACGGAUGCCUUAACAACUGUCCAUGGUACGUUAAGCGCCUACCAUGGUUGUAACGGGUAUCCCGGAAUUAGGGUUCAAUUCCGGAAAGGGAUCCUGAGAAGCUGCUACCACUUCCAUAGAUGGCAUCAGGCCCGCUUAUUACCCUUUCCCAGUACCGGGAUGUAGUGACGACAGGACCCCACAACCGAACUCUAUUGAGGCCCCGUAAUUGGAAUGAGUACAAUUUAAAUCCUUUAACGAGGAUCUAUUGGAGGGCAAGUCUGGGGC